Molecule: ribosomal RNA, 489 nt
Filed under: uncultured bacterium
Lineage: Bacteria
Description: partial 16S ribosomal RNA
Rfam family: Bacterial small subunit ribosomal RNA
Source: RNAcentral
GACGAACGCUGGCGGCGUGCUUAACACAUGCAAGUCGAACGGUGAAGGGAUCAGCUUGCUGGUUCUGGAUGAGUGGCGAACGGGUGAGUAACACGUGAGUAACCUGCCUCCUUCUUCUGGAUAACCGCAUGAAAGUGUGGCUAAUACGGGAUAUUCUGGGUCUGUCGCAUGAUGGGUCUGGGAAAGAUAUUGUUUCGGUGGGGGAUGGGCUCGCGGCCUAUCAGCUUGUUGGUGGGGUGAUGGCCUACCAAGGCGGCGACGGGUAGCCGGCCUGAGAGGGUGGACGGUCGAACUGGGACUGAGACACGGCCCCGACUGCUACGCGGAGCAGCAGUGGGGAAUAUUGCACAAGGAGCGCUAGCCUGAUGCAGCGACGCCGCGUGAGGGAUGGAGGGCUUCGGGGUGUAAACCUCUUUCGGCAGUGAAGCAGGCCUACUCCUUAUGCGUGGGUUGACGGUAGCUGGAUAAGAAGCGCCGGCUAACUACGUG